Molecule: long non-coding RNA, 408 nt
Organism: Arabidopsis thaliana (thale cress)
Lineage: Eukaryota; Viridiplantae; Streptophyta; Magnoliopsida; Brassicales; Brassicaceae
Product: other RNA
Exons: 1
Source: RefSeq
ACAGGAUCCAUUUAACUAUCAAGCUGAAGAACACAAAAAACAAAACACACACAUAUCAACAUUAUAAUCUUUCAUGACUUUUAAAAAGAGUGUUGGUUCCUUGAUAGUGUUAUCAAUUGGAUUAGUAAAAAUAUUCAGACUUUUCUGUGUAUUAUAUGGAAAAAAAGAAAGGAACACAAAGUUUUCUGAUAGAACAGACAUAGAAAAGCAUUGACUUUUUGACUUAUUAGUCUGAGAAGACAGACAUGACUAGAUUCAGUCAAUUCUUGUGGAAAACUGAAGAAAAGGAAGUAAAUUUAAACAGAGACUUGACUUGAGCACAUUCUCUCAACAGAUGUUUCUGCUUUCUAGUUUCCUUUUUCCCUUAUAUUUGAUUAAACUAAUUUAUCCAGUCUAAUAAAGUGUGGA